AGGUAGGCAGUGGUUGCCGACCUCGCAUUGUUCGAAAUAUAUAUUUCGUAUAAUGAUUAUAUUGGUUACUUAUAAUAAAGUAUAUUAUUAUCCGUACAAAUUUGUUUCUCAGUUCUUUUUGAACACGGGACUUGGCUCCGCGGAUAAUAGGAAUAUACGCUAUUUUAGAUAAUAUCGUUGAAACAAAAGUCAAGUUUCUAUUAUACAUAGAAUAACAAAUCGUUUCCAUAUAUUAUCGUUAAUUUUUGGUGGCAGGCAAAUAUUAGUUUAUUACCUGCCUGUAAAGUUGGAUUAUUAUAUCGUUACGGUAUAAUACAAAAUGGAUUCAUAUUAUUAUAUGAAAGAAAUAUAAAAUUUAUAUAUAAAUUUGGAAGAAUUAUCAUGUGCGCUCGGUUUUAUGUUAUAUAUUACCAGAGAGUUAUAUGAAAAGAGAUAAAUUUUAAAUUUAUCAUCAAGAUGCAAAUGAUUUAACUUAUAUUUGGUUAAACAAAAAUUGUACAAGUGUGGAUACAAAAUUUAUGUAUGUUGGAAAUAAAAUGAUAUUUUAGAAUGAAAUAUAUGUAUAUAUAAAGACAAAAUUAUAGAAAAUAUAUUACAAUAAUUGUAUGAUCUUCUUGUUAUAUUGGUAAAACAAGUAGAAUUUAAAAAUGGAAAUACGAAUUACGAGUGCUAUAUAAAAAUGGCCGUAUUCGAAUGGAUUUAUUUUUAUAAAUAUAUUUAAAAUUUUUACCCAAAGGCAAAAUAUUGAAUUACAUUCAAUAAUAUAAAAAAAUGGAAUUAUAUAUAAAGUGGAAAAUCUAUAAUAUUUAUAUUGCUUAUUUCAAUUCAAAAAAUAUGAAUGAAAUAUGAAAAGAAAACAUUAUUCUGGUUGAUCCUGCCAGUAGUUAUAUGCUUGUCUCAAAGAUUAAGCCAUGCAUGUCUAAGUACACACGAAUUAAAAGUGAAACCGCAAAAGGCUCAUUAUAUCAGUUAUGGUUCCUUAGAUCGUUAACAGUUACUUGGAUAACUGUGGUAAUUCUAGAGCUAAUACAUGCAAUUAAAACAUGAACCUUAUGGGACAUGUGCUUUUAUUAGGCUAAAACCAAGCGAUCGCAAGAUCGUUAUAUUGGUUGAACUCUAGAUAACAUGCAGAUCGUAUGGUCUUGUACCGACGACAGAUCUUUCAAAUGUCUGCCCUAUCAACUUUUGAUGGUAGUAUCUAGGACUACCAUGGUUGCAACGGGUAACGGGGAAUCAGGGUUCGAUUCCGGAGAGGGAGCCUGAGAAACGGCUACCACAUCUAAGGAAGGCAGCAGGCGCGUAAAUUACCCACUCCCAGCUCGGGGAGGUAGUGACGAAAAAUAACAAUACAGGACUCAUAUCCGAGGCCCUGUAAUUGGAAUGAGUACACUUUAAAUCCUUUAACAAGGACCAAUUGGAGGGCAAGUCUGGUGCCAGCAGCCGCGGUAAUUCCAGCUCCAAUAGCGUAUAUUAAAGUUGUUGCGGUUAAAACGUUCGUAGUUGAACUUGUGCUUCAUACGGGUAGUACAACUUACAAUUGUGGUUAGUACUAUACCUUUAUGUAUGUAAGCGUAUUACCGGUGGAGUUCUUAUAUGUGAUUAAAUACUUGUAUCUUUUCAUAUGUUCCUCCUAUUUAAAAACCUGCAUUAGUGCUCUUAAACGAGUGUUAUUGUGGGCCGGUACUAUUACUUUGAACAAAUUAGAGUGCUUAAAGCAGGCUUCAAAUGCCUGAAUAUUCUGUGCAUGGGAUAAUGAAAUAAGACCUCUGUUCUGCUUUCAUUGGUUUUCAGAUCAAGAGGUAAUGAUUAAUAGAAGCAGUUUGGGGGCAUUAGUAUUACGACGCGAGAGGUGAAAUUCUUGGACCGUCGUAAGACUAACUUAAGCGAAAGCAUUUGCCAAAGAUGUUUUCAUUAAUCAAGAACGAAAGUUAGAGGUUCGAAGGCGAUCAGAUACCGCCCUAGUUCUAACCAUAAACGAUGCCAGCUAGCAAUUGGGUGUAGCUACUUUUAUGGCUCUCUCAGUCGCUUCCCGGGAAACCAAAGCUUUUGGGCUCCGGGGGAAGUAUGGUUGCAAAGCUGAAACUUAAAGGAAUUGACGGAAGGGCACCACCAGGAGUGGAGCCUGCGGCUUAAUUUGACUCAACACGGGAAAACUUACCAGGUCCGAACAUAAGUGUGUAAGACAGAUUGAUAGCUCUUUCUCGAAUCUAUGGGUGGUGGUGCAUGGCCGUUCUUAGUUCGUGGAGUGAUUUGUCUGGUUAAUUCCGAUAACGAACGAGACUCAAAUAUAUUAAAUAGAUAUCUUCAGGAUUAUGGUGCUGAAGCUUAUGUAGCCUUCAUUCAUGUUGGCAGUAAAAUGCUUAUUGUGUUUGAAUGUGUUUAUGUAAGUGGAGCCGUACCUGUUGGUUUGUCCCAUUAUAAGGACACUAGCUUCUUAAAUGGACAAAUUGCGUCUAGCAAUAAUGAGAUUGAGCAAUAACAGGUCUGUGAUGCCCUUAGAUGUCCUGGGCUGCACGCGCGCUACAAUGAAAGUAUCAACGUGUAUUUCCUAGACCGAGAGGUCCGGGUAAACCGCUGAACCACUUUCAUGCUUGGGAUUGUGAACUGAAACUGUUCACAUGAACUUGGAAUUCCCAGUAAGUGUGAGUCAUUAACUCGCAUUGAUUACGUCCCUGCCCUUUGUACACACCGCCCGUCGCUACUACCGAUUGAAUUAUUUAGUGAGGUCUCCGGACGUGAUCACUGUGACGCCUUGCGUGUUACGGUUGUUUCGCAAAAGUUGACCGAACUUGAUUAUUUAGAGGAAGUAAAAGUCGUAACAAGGUUUCCGUAGGUGAACCUGCGGAAGGAUCAUUAUUGUAUAAUAUCCUUACCGUUAAUAAAUAUUUGUAAUUAUACAAAUAAAAACAAUUUACCAAAAUAAAAAUAUAACAAAAUGAUUCCAUGGAAUCAAAAGUUAAAAUCAAAAUAAAACGAAGAUGGGUUUUAUUUAUAUAGUUAGUGUGGGGCUUGGCAACCUCAUAAAAAGAUUUUAACAUUUCUAAUGUAUGUUGUGCGUAUUUGUGGCGAGUACUUACAACAACGGCGUUUCCUAUAAAAAUAAUGUUUCGAACAUGAAAAUCGAAGAAACAAAAUUCGAAAGUGGAAGUCGAAUCAAAAUAAAAUAAUUUCGAAUGUGUGGUAAUCAUCGAAAUAAGUGUUAAUAUAAUUGGUAGAUAUUAACUAAUUUUUAAAAUUUGUGUGUAUUUAUUACUAUACACGCGUUGCGAAUAUGUAUUGUUCAUCUUAGUUAUGGGCAUACGUUGGCUAAUGCAACAACCUGAAAUAAACAAUGUUGUACCUGGCAUCCAUCAGGUUAAUGUUUUAUAUAAAUUGCAGUAUGUGUCACCCAAAAUAGCAAACCCCAUAACCAACCAGAUUAUUAUGAUACAUAAUGCUUAUAUGAAACUAAGACAUUUCGCAACAUUUAUUUUAGGUAUAUAAAUACAUUUAUUGAAGGAAUUGAUAUAUGCCAGUAAAAUGGUGUAUUUUUAAUUUCUUUCAAUAAAAACAUAAUUGACAUUAUAUAAAAAUGAAUUAUAAAACUCUAAGCGGUGGAUCACUCGGCUCAUGGGUCGAUGAAGAACGCAGCAAACUGUGCGUCAUCGUGUGAACUGCAGGACACAUGAACAUCGACAUUUUGAACGCAUAUCGCAGUCCAUGCUGUUAUGUACUUUAAUUAAUUUUAUAGUGCUGCUUGGACUACAUAUGGUUGAGGGUUGUAAGACUAUGCUAAUUAAGUUGCUUAUAAAUUUUUAUAAGCAUAUGGUAUAUUAUUGGAUAAAUAUAAUAAUUUUUAUUCAUAAUAUUAAAAAAUAAAUGAAAAACAUUAUCUCACAUUUGAAUGUGAAAAACGAAGAGAAAUAUUUUCUUUUUCAAUCAAAUAAUACUGAGAAAUGUCUAGCAUAAAAAAUUGAAAUAUUUUUCAUCUAGAAUUGUCUCUUAUUAAUGAUUCGGAAAUAGAAAAAUCUUGGUUAUGUUAUUAUUCUUCGUUGGUUCGUUAAAAAUGGAUAAAUAAAAACUUUGCAUACAAGAAUUAAUAAAAAUGUUAUAACGAAUUUAAUUAAAUGUUUUAUCAUUAUAUAUAAAGAAUUUAUGGCAAGAUAAAGUUAUAUACAACCUCAACUCAUAUGGGACUACCCCCUGAAUUUAAGCAUAUUAAUUAGGGGAGGAAAAGAAACUAACAAGGAUUUUCUUAGUAGCGGCGAGCGAAAAGAAAACAGUUCAGCACUAAGUCACUUUGUCUAUAUGGCAAAUGUGAGAUGCAGUGUAUGGAGCGUCAAUAUUCUAGUAUGAGAAAUUAACGAUUUAAGUCCUUCUUAAAUGAGGCCAUUUACCCAUAGAGGGUGCCAGGCCCGUAUAACGUUAAUGAUUACUAGAUGAUGUUUCCAAAGAGUCGUGUUGCUUGAUAGUGCAGCACUAAGUGGGUGGUAAACUCCAUCUAAAACUAAAUAUAACCAUGAGACCGAUAGUAAACAAGUACCGUGAGGGAAAGUUGAAAAGAACUCUGAAUAGAGAGUUAAACAGUACGUGAAACUGCUUAGAGGUUAAGCCCGAUGAACCUGAAUAUCCGUUAUGGAAAAUUCAUCAUUAAAAUUGUAAUAUUUAAAUAAUAUUAUGAGAAUAGUGUGCAUUUUUUCCAUAUAAGGACAUUGUAAUCUAUUAGCAUAUACCAAAUUUAUCAUAAAAUAUAACUUAUAGUUUAUUCCAAUUAAAUUGCUUGCAUUUUAACACAGAAUAAAUGUUAUUAAUUUGAUAAAGUGCUGAUAGAUUUAUAUGAUUACAGUGCGUUAAUUUUUCGGAAUUAUAUAAUGGCAUAAUUAUCAUUGAUUUUUGUGUUUAUUAUAUGCACUUGUAUGAUUAACAAUGCGAAAGAUUCAGGAUACCUUCGGGACCCGUCUUGAAACACGGACCAAGGAGUCUAACAUAUGUGCAAGUUAUUGGGAUAUAAACCUAAUAGCGUAAUUAACUUGACUAAUAAUGGGAUUAGUUUUUUAGCUAUUUAUAGCUGCUAAUUAACACAAUCCCGGGGCGUUCUAUAUAGUUAUGUAUAAUGUAUAUUUAUAUUAUUUAUGCCUCUAACUGGAACGUACCUUGAGCAUAUAUGCUGUGACCCGAAAGAUGGUGAACUAUACUUGAUCAGGUUGAAGUCAGGGGAAACCCUGAUGGAAGACCGAAACAGUUCUGACGUGCAAAUCGAUUGUCAGAAUUGAGUAUAGGGGCGAAAGACCAAUCGAACCAUCUAGUAGCUGGUUCCUUCCGAAGUUUCCCUCAGGAUAGCUGGUGCAUUUUAAUAUUAUAUAAAAUAAUCUUAUCUGGUAAAGCGAAUGAUUAGAGGCCUUAGGGUCGAAACGAUCUUAACCUAUUCUCAAACUUUAAAUGGGUAAGAACCUUAACUUUCUUGAUAUGAAGUUCAAGGUUAUGAUAUAAUGUGCCCAGUGGGCCACUUUUGGUAAGCAGAACUGGCGCUGUGGGAUGAACCAAACGUAAUGUUACGGUGCCCAAAUUAACAACUCAUGCAGAUACCAUGAAAGGCGUUGGUUGCUUAAAACAGCAGGACGGUGAUCAUGGAAGUCGAAAUCCGCUAAGGAGUGUGUAACAACUCACCUGCCGAAGCAACUAGCCCUUAAAAUGGAUGGCGCUUAAGUUGUAUACCUAUACAUUACCGCUAAAGUAGAUGAUUUAUAUUACUUGUGAUAUAAAUUUUGAAACUUUAGUGAGUAGGAAGGUACAAUGGUAUGCGUAGAAGUGUUUGGCGUAAGCCUGCAUGGAGCUGCCAUUGGUACAGAUCUUGGUGGUAGUAGCAAAUAAUCGAAUGAGACCUUGGAGGACUGAAGUGGAGAAGGGUUUCGUGUGAACAGUGGUUGAUCACGAGUUAGUCGGUCCUAAGUUCAAGGCGAAAGCCGAAAAUUUUCAAGUAAAACAAAAAUGCCUAACUAUAUAAACAAAGCGAAUUAUAAUACACUUGAAUAAUUUUGAACGAAAGGGAAUACGGUUCCAAUUCCGUAACCUGUUGAGUAUCCGUUUGUUAUUAAAUAUGGGCCUCGUGCUCAUCCUGGCAACAGGAACGACCAUAAAGAAGCCGUCGAGAGAUAUCGGAAGAGUUUUCUUUUCUGUUUUAUAGCCGUACUACCAUGGAAGUCUUUCGCAGAGAGAUAUGGUAGAUGGGCUAGAAGAGCAUGACAUAUACUGUUGUGUCGAUAUUUUCUCCUCGGACCUUGAAAAUUUAUGGUGGGGACACGCAAACUUCUCAACAGGCCGUACCAAUAUCCGCAGCUGGUCUCCAAGGUGAAGAGUCUCUAGUCGAUAGAAUAAUGUAGGUAAGGGAAGUCGGCAAAUUAGAUCCGUAACUUCGGGAUAAGGAUUGGCUCUGAAGAUUGAGAUAGUCGGGCUUGAUUGGGAAACAAUAACAUGGUUUAUGUGCUCGUUCUGGGUAAAUAGAGUUUCUAGCAUUUAUGUUAGUUACUUGUUCCCCGGAUAGUUUAGUUACGUAGCCAAUUGUGGAACUUUCUUGCUAAAAUUUUUAAGAAUACUAUUUGGGUUAAACCAAUUAGUUCUUAUUAAUUAUAACGAUUAUCAAUUAACAAUCAAUUCAGAACUGGCACGGACUUGGGGAAUCCGACUGUCUAAUUAAAACAAAGCAUUGUGAUGGCCCUAGCGGGUGUUGACACAAUGUGAUUUCUGCCCAGUGCUCUGAAUGUCAAAGUGAAGAAAUUCAAGUAAGCGCGGGUCAACGGCGGGAGUAACUAUGACUCUCUUAAGGUAGCCAAAUGCCUCGUCAUCUAAUUAGUGACGCGCAUGAAUGGAUUAACGAGAUUCCUACU
Ribosomal RNA from Drosophila melanogaster (fruit fly), 6863 nucleotides. Lineage: Eukaryota; Metazoa; Arthropoda; Insecta; Diptera; Drosophilidae. The record is from Ensembl.